Molecule: transfer RNA, 70 nt
Filed under: Nimbapanchax petersi
Lineage: Eukaryota; Metazoa; Chordata; Actinopteri; Cyprinodontiformes; Nothobranchiidae
Description: tRNA-Gly
Rfam family: tRNA
About the family: Transfer RNA (tRNA) molecules are approximately 80 nucleotides in length. Their secondary structure includes four short double-helical elements and three loops (D, anti-codon, and T loops). Further hydrogen bonds mediate the characteristic L-shaped molecular structure. tRNAs have two regions of fundamental functional importance: the anti-codon, which is responsible for specific mRNA codon recognition, and the 3' end, to which the tRNAs corresponding amino acid is attached (by aminoacyl-tRNA synthetases). tRNAs cope with the degeneracy of the genetic code in two manners: having more than one tRNA (with a specific anti-codon) for a particular amino acid; and 'wobble' base-pairing, i.e. permitting non-standard base-pairing at the 3rd anti-codon position.
Source: RNAcentral
AUCUUUCUAGUAUAAUUCAAUAUGAAUGACUUCCAAUCAUACGAUCCCGGUUUAAAUCCGAGGAAAGGUA